RNAcentral lists this transfer RNA (74 nucleotides) under Campylobacterota bacterium. RNAcentral describes it as "tRNA-Gln". It matches the Rfam family "tRNA". From Rfam's summary of the family: Transfer RNA (tRNA) molecules are approximately 80 nucleotides in length. Their secondary structure includes four short double-helical elements and three loops (D, anti-codon, and T loops). The record is from RNAcentral. Lineage: Bacteria; Pseudomonadati; Campylobacterota.
UGGGGUAUCGUCUAAUGGCAGGACAGCUGGUUUUGGUCCAGCGAAUUGAGGUUCGAGUCCUUAUACCCCAGCCA